Molecule: long non-coding RNA, 2285 nt
Filed under: Mus musculus (house mouse)
Lineage: Eukaryota; Metazoa; Chordata; Mammalia; Rodentia; Muridae
Description: long non-coding RNA chr1:62389903-62392188
Source: RNAcentral
GAGUUCAGGUAAAGUAGGGAAAAUGCAUAUGGAGAUAGAGGCAAUCUUAGAAUUGAUAUUGUACAUAUAUUGGCCCAUUACCCUCUGCACUGAAAAUCAUAAUGCGUUUAUUACGACAUUCACCAAAUGAUAGCUAUCCCGUACUUUUGGCCUCUGCAGUCUUUGUUAAUAAUGAUGCCUGGAGUUUGGGGGCAGAAACAUAGAGUAUAAUAUAUGGAAAAAUCUGCAGAAAAUAAAUACUUCUUUUACACUGUUAUUUUUAGCUGUUUGUUUAGAGAUUGUGAAAAACAUUGCAUAAGCCAUGUUGUAAGAAAACAUUAUGUAAAUCUUACAAGGAGAACUCAGAAAAUGAGAAGGGGAAACCAGUCUGGCCUGAACUGCCUUCUUGUGUUCUAGACAUCUACAGGCAACAGAUAGGUCUUUCAUAGGCAGAUGAUAAAUAGUGUCCAAUUUAUUUCUUGUUAUCAAUCUAUUGUUCAAAUAAUAUUGUGUAAAGAAACCCACUUCUCUUCAUGACUCAACUCUCACUGCAAGAUAGGAUUUUUAAAACCUAAACUUAAAAGUUUUUUUAAAUGUGAAUAUUAAUUAUUCAUUUAUAUUUAAGAAUUUCUUCAUUAGCAUUUUCCAGAGAUAAGAAUUGAAGGUAUAAUUAACCUUUGAAAUGAAAACUGAGGUUUAAUUAAGACUAGAUAGUACUCCAAUGCCUGACAUCUUCCCGAUCAUGGAAUAAAAUAUUAUGAAAGAUAUGUUUCGGUCCCAAAGGAAGGAAAUAGGUUUCUCUCUCUCUCUCUCUCUCUCUCUCUCUCUCUCUCUCUCUCUCAGAGGACAAGAGAAUAAACUCCACUGUAUCUCAUGGGAUUUUAUUUGAUUAUGUUGCCUGAUAGCAUAUGGACCUGUUUGAACUCAGUUUCUCAAGCUAUGAGCACAAACACAGCCCCACCAAAAGUUCCCAGGCCAACACCAACAGCAGUGGAUUUUGACUGACAUAAUGUCUCUAGUCUGAUGGCUCAGCUGGCCCUCCAUAGCUCUACGCCAACAACUGGAGGUUUCCUUGGCUGGCUGGGUAGUCCUUGCUUGCCACUGUAACAUCAGAAAGACCUGUGGCUCUGCAUUGGCUUAUGCAGAUUUGGAUGUGGGCUGAGGGCACAUCACAGGCAAACAUGUGUUGAGAAUUAUUCUGUGAGUGUCGACUUUGAAGGGCCUCCCAGGUAUAUCGAGAAUUUGGUAUGAUGAGGAGAUGAAUUCAGUUCAGGGUCCUCAAUCUUAUUGCCAAUCUUUUUCAAUAAGAAACCAUCUCCUUGGCUUGCACAUCUGUGUUUGAUAAUGGGAGAGAAUGUCUUUGAUUAGACUUUCAGAGUAAUCACUCAAAGGCAACUUUCUCCUCGGCUUUGCUGCAUCUCAUAAAGUUAGAUUUUGCACAUUAGUGAUGCACUUGAUUGCGCUGAAAUAAUAUUGGCUUUAUGAGAGAGUAUAAUCUUGUUCAAAAUAUAACUCCCUCUUCCUCCCCAAAGUGCUGCUAUUUUUGUGCCAGGUUCCCCUCCACCACGAUGUUUAUGAGCAUUUCCCAAAAUACUAUUUUCUUUGCCUUUAUUGUCGUUUUAUAACCUUUAAUCAUGGUUUUUAAAAAAUGGUACCUUAAUAGCUGAAGGCAAAAUCACAAGUGGUCUUCUCUAAAUUUUUUUUAAAUUAUUUUUUUAUAACCCUAACAAUUUCGAACAGAAAUGGUCUUGAGAUUUUUUUCCCCUAAAAUAUUUGCCUAAGGAGCUGGAGUGAUGGCUCAGUAGUUAACAGCACUGGCUGCUCUUGUAGAGAAGCCAGGUUUAAUUCCCAACACACAUAUGACAGCUCACAACUGUCUGUAACUCCAGUCCUAAGGGAGCCAAUGCCCUCAUCUGGCCUCCCAGGCACCAGGCAUGCACAUGGUACACAGACAUGCAUGCAAGCAAAACAUCCAUCCAUACACACAGAAUAAGAUAUAAAAGGCUAAAAACAAAAUACUUGUUAAGUUUUCCACAAUAAUUUUUAAUAUUUCUAAGAAUGAAAAUCUCUGACCUCAUGUGAAAAGAUACAUACACUCCAUGUUUGUUUAAUUUCUGUCUAGCAUGUAGAAAAUUUCUCUCUCAUUUAGAAAACCAUGCUCUUGAUACUUCUCUUUUUCUCAUUUAUUUACACAGGCAUGUAUGCCAAAAAUUAAGCAUUUUGCCUCAUUUGGCAAAUUCAUGCUAAGAACAAUUUUCCUAAAAUUUGUAGUCUUGAUUCAGUCUUCAGUGUUUUGUCUUCAAACU